RNAcentral lists this ribosomal RNA (253 nucleotides) under uncultured bacterium. RNAcentral describes it as "partial 16S ribosomal RNA". It matches the Rfam family "Bacterial small subunit ribosomal RNA", at positions 524 to 776 of the family's 1533-position model. The record is from RNAcentral.
UACAGAGGUCUCAAGCGUUGUUCGGAUUCAUUGGGCGUAAAGGGUGUGUAGGUGGCGCGCUAAGUCGGGUGUGAAAUUUCGGAGCUUAACUCCGAAACUGCAUUCGAUACUGGCGUGCUUGAGGACUGGAGAGGAGACUGGAAUUCAUGGUGUAGCAGUGAAAUGCGUAGAGAUCAUGAGGAAGACCAGUGGCGAAGGCGAGUCUCUGGACAGUUCCUGACACUGAGGCACGAAGGCCAGGGGAGCAAACGGG